This 557-nucleotide ribosomal RNA is filed under the name Sordaria lappae. RNAcentral describes it as "eukaryotic LSU rRNA". It matches the Rfam family "Eukaryotic large subunit ribosomal RNA", at positions 32 to 601 of the family's 3401-position model. The record is from RNAcentral. Lineage: Eukaryota; Fungi; Ascomycota; Sordariomycetes; Sordariales; Sordariaceae.
UCUUAAGCAUAUCAAUAAGCGGAGGAAAAGAAACCAACAGGGAUUGCCCUAGUAACGGCGAGUGAAGCGGCAACAGCUCAAAUUUGAAAUCUGGCUUCGGCCCGAGUUGUAAUUUGUAGAGGAAACUUUUGGUGAGGCACCUUCUGAGUCCCUUGGAACAGGGCGCCAUAGAGGGUGAGAGCCCCGUAUAGUCGGAUGCCGAUCCAAUGUAAAGUUCCUUCGACGAGUCGAGUAGUUUGGGAAUGCUGCUCAAAAUGGGAGGUAAAUUUCUUCUAAAGCUAAAUAUAGGCCAGAGACCGAUAGCGCACAAGUAGAGUGAUCGAAAGAUGAAAAGCACUUUGAAAAGAGGGUUAAAUAGCACGUGAAAUUGUUGAAAGGGAAGCGUUUGUGACCAGACUUGCGCCGUUCCGAUCAUCCGGUGUUCUCACCGGUGCACUCGGGGCGGCUCAGGCCAGCAUCGGUUUUGGUGGGGGGAUAAAGGUUCAGGGAACGUAGCUCCUCCGGGAGUGUUAUAGCCCUGGGCGUAAUGCCCUCGCUGGGACCGAGGUUCGCGCAUC